UAAGAUAUGAUUGCAUUGUUGGAUGCACGUUACUUGUUUAUGUAUUUAUGUUGAUUUGGUGACGGAGACUAAGGACAAAUAAGAAUGGGAUGUGAUAUGAUAAAUGAAUAAGAUGCCAGCCUCACUAGAUAUCCUGAGAGAUGAUUGACGGACCGGGUUCAUAAGGAACCCUACCGUGAACGUUGUCUCAUACAGGAUGGGGUAUGGAGACU
RNAcentral lists this long non-coding RNA (212 nucleotides) under Carica papaya (papaya). Its description in RNAcentral is "long non-coding RNA (CPAP_LNC005574)". Lineage: Eukaryota; Viridiplantae; Streptophyta; Magnoliopsida; Brassicales; Caricaceae. The record is from RNAcentral.